GGGGAAUAUUGGACAAUGGGCGCAAGCCUGAUCCAGCCAUGCCGCGUGAGUGAUGAAGGCCCUAGGGUUGUAAAGCUCUUUCACCGGUGAAGAUAAUGACGGUAACCGGAGAAGAAGCCCCGGCUAACUUCGUGCCAGCAGCCGCGGUAAUACGAAGGGGGCUAGCGUUGUUCGGAAUUACUGGGCGUAAAGCGCACGUAGGCGGAUUGGUCAGUUAGGGGUGAAAUCCCAGGGCUCAACCCUGGAACUGCCUUUAAUACUGCCGGUCUUGAGUCCGAGAGAGGUGAGUGGAAUUCCGAGUGUAGAGGUGAAAUUCGUAGAUAUUCGGAGGAACACCAGUGGCGAAGGCGGCUCACUGGCUCGGUACUGACGCUGAGGUGCGAAAGCGUGGGGAGCAAAC
RNAcentral lists this ribosomal RNA (400 nucleotides) under uncultured bacterium. RNAcentral describes it as "bacterial SSU rRNA". It matches the Rfam family "Bacterial small subunit ribosomal RNA", at positions 356 to 773 of the family's 1533-position model. The record is from RNAcentral.